RNAcentral lists this ribosomal RNA (203 nucleotides) under uncultured bacterium. Its description in RNAcentral is "partial 16S ribosomal RNA". It matches the Rfam family "Bacterial small subunit ribosomal RNA", at positions 1290 to 1500 of the family's 1533-position model. The record is from RNAcentral.
AGUUCGGAUUGGAGUCUGNAACCCGACUCCAUGAAGCUGGAUUCGCUAGUAAUCGCGCAUCAGCCACGGCGCGGUGAAUACGUUCCCGGGCCUUGUACACACCGCCCGUCAAGCCAUGGAAGCCGGGGGUACCUGAAGUGCGUGACCGCAAGGAGCGUCCUAGGGUAAAACCGGUGACUGGGGCUAAGUCGUAACAAGGUAUC